This 441-nucleotide ribosomal RNA is filed under the name uncultured bacterium. RNAcentral describes it as "partial 16S ribosomal RNA". It matches the Rfam family "Bacterial small subunit ribosomal RNA", at positions 338 to 795 of the family's 1533-position model. The record is from RNAcentral.
CCUACGGGAGGCUGCAGUGGGGAAUAUUGCACAAUGGGGGAAACCCUGAUGCAGCAACGCCGCGUGAGUGAGGAAGGAUUUCGGUAUGUAAAGCACUAUCAGCAGGGAAGAGAAAAGAAGGUACAAGAAAAAGAAGAACCGGCGAAAUACGUGCCAGAAGCAGCGGUAAUAGGCAGGGGGCAAGCGUUAGCCGGAUUUACUGGGUGUAAAGGGAGCGGAGACGGAAAGGCAAGUCAGACGGGAAAGCCCCAGGCUCAACCUUGGGACUUCUUUUGAAACUGUCAACCUAGAGUACGGGAGAGGUAAGCUGAAUUCCUAGUGUAGCGGUGAAAUGCGUAGAUAUUAGGAGGAACACCAGUGGCGAAGGCGUCUUCCUGGACCGAAACUGACGUUGAGGCUCGAAAGCGUGGGGAGCAAACAGGAUUAGAUACCCUUGUAGUC